GAUCCUGGCUCAGAACGAACGCUGGCGGCGUGCUAGGCAUGCAAGUCGAACGGCAAGAGGUAGCAAUACCUCCUAGAGUGGCGGACUGGUGAGUAACACGUGGGUGACAUACCCUUCAGAUGGGGAUAGCUAUUAGAAAUAGUAGAUAAUACCGAAUACGAGCACAGGGGUUAGAGAUCUGUGAGGAAAGGAGCUAAGGCUCCGCUGAAGGAAUGGCCUGCGGCCCAUUAGCUAGUUGGUGAGGUAAGAGCCCACCAAGGCGAUGAUGGGUAUCCGGCCUUAGAGGGUGAACGGACACAUUGGGACUGAGAUACGGCCCAGACUCCUACGGGAGGCAGCAGCUAAGAAUAUUCCGCAAUGGACGAAAGUCUGACGGAGCGACGCCGCGUGGAUGAAGAAGGCCGGAAGGUUGUAAAAUCCUUUUGAAACUGAAGAAUAAGCGUUGUAGGGAAUGACAGCGUGGUGACAGUAGGUUUUGAAUAAGCAACGGCUAAUUACGUGCCAGCCGCCGC
Molecule: ribosomal RNA, 512 nt
Filed under: uncultured bacterium
Lineage: Bacteria
Description: bacterial SSU rRNA
Rfam family: Bacterial small subunit ribosomal RNA
Source: RNAcentral